Molecule: non-coding RNA, 5642 nt
Organism: Pelodiscus sinensis (Chinese soft-shelled turtle)
Lineage: Eukaryota; Metazoa; Chordata; Testudines; Trionychidae
Source: RefSeq, a predicted model, not a curated record
UCCCAUUUACCAUCGCGCAUUGUGCCCAGAGACUUUUCUCUGUGUUCUAAUUUGUUUUCAUUAGUUCAGUCUGUAGUCGCAUCCACAAAAACGAGCUGCGGAUAUCCACAUCCACAUCUGCAGACGCAGGUAUCCCCCAGAUGUAAAGUGGAUAUCUGCAGAUUUGCAGGCCUGUACCCCUUUUCCCACCCUAUCAGCAGGCCAGUAUUGUUGGCAAAAGCCAGAAGAGUAUGGUAGCCCCAUUUCCAUCAGCCGCUGUGGAAAGAACUGGGGAGCAGUGAUCCAGAGUUAAACUCCAGUACUGUGCAUCCACCCACUGUUCUGCUAGUUCACCAUUUUCUUCAGUUAGUCACUGACAGUCACCCACGUUUUAUCAUGCUCAAGGUUAUGUGGGCUGGCAAACUUAAAUUGUUUGCACAGAGGAUUGUAGAUGGAUAUGAUGGAAAUGCCACUAGUGUCUGAAAUCAGGAGUUAAAUGUCAUCGUUAUUGGUCAUAGAUGUUGUGUUGUUGACGAGACCAGUUUUGAUGGAAACAGGGCUGCCGUAUUGCUUGUGUGGCUUUUCGAUGGCCAAGUUCAUCCUGAGAACCUGGGAGCUACGUGGUCACUUCCACAUAACAAUCUCCUACGUGGCAUGUUUGGAUCUGACUUAGGCCAGUAAUGACAUAAAGCCAUUACCAUUGGAGGACACUAAAAUAAGUUGAUUUUUUCACACAGUUUUCAAAUAUCUGAUCAGGAAAAAGAAUACAAAUUUGUGUUCUCUCAGCAAGGCGAGACUGUCUUACCUUGCAUUCCAUUCGUAGCCCCCUCUCUGUGGGCGCAUGUUUUGUUGUGGAAUCAUGAGCCACGAGUUUCCGAUUCAGCACUGCUAACCUUGGCCCUCGAUAUUGUAUUCUGCAGCUCUCUGCUAAAUUCAUCAAGACUUACAUAGUCAAUAGAGAUGUCAAGCCAGUAAAUCGAAUGAAAGAAGUACUAUUUGAAAGAGAAAAUUAGCUGGGUCCUUUUGAUAGGUAUUUAUGACACAAGGCUAGAAUAGGCUUCACAGUCAUCUAGGCACAGAAAUCGUUUUCCAAACGCCAAGAUGAAAGGGUGUUGAUUGUUCAUCUUCUUGCAUGUUAUUUUGGUUAUCAAAGAGCCGUUUCCUGAUGACUUCUCAAAUGGUUAGUGACAAUGGUUGCUGGCUAAUGCAACCUAGCAGGCUAAUGCAAAUAUUUAGGUAUUCAUAUGACAUAGACUUCACAGAUCACAUUUGUGUCCAACUUCACUCCAUCUACCAUAGCAUUUGGAGUCUGCCCAUCUGCAGGAGCACAUAGUAGUACUGCAGUGAACAGAUAUUUUUGGCACUGGAGUCAAACAUUGUGAUGCUGCUUCUCGGCUAGUGAAAAUGGGCAUAGUUUUAUUGACUUCAGUGGAGCUAUGCUUCUUUCCACCAUCUGGGGAAAAGACCCCGUCAACUAAGAGCCAAAGACAGGGGCAAAGGUCAGAAGGGUGGGGUGGGGGAUGAUCAACAUUUCUAGAAAUCACUAUGACUUUUUUCUGUAGGGGACUGAUUGGAAUCGUGAUGUUUUAAUAAUCUAUAAUAACUUACUCAGGUCAGUGACCAAAUCAACAAAUGAGGAUGCACAGCUGGAUUAAUUAUUCUGUUGUACAGGUUGAACCUCUAAAAUCCAGGACUCUCUGGCCUAGCAACAUCCAUGGACCAAAAAGCCCCAGCAGCCGGGAUCAGGAGCUGGUCAGUAGUUCAGCAACUGGGAGCCCUGCCAGGGCUGGCAGUGGCUGGGGAGCUCUAACCCUGGGGAGCCCCAGCUGGGGCUGGCAGCAACGGCAGGGGAAUCCCAGCUGGGGCGGCCAGGGAAUCCCAGUCCCACAGAGCCUCAGCAGAGCAGGAGGCAGCUGGAAAGCUGCCACCAGCAAAGGGGAACAGGAGCCCCAUUGGACCUGAUUGGAGCCCAGGGGCAGGGACUUGUGGCAGGGAGUGGGGCCGACAGCCCGGAAGGCAACCCAGAAGCCGGGCCGGCAGCCAGCAGGAAAACACUGAUCUCCCUGGUCUGGCAAACUCCCUGGUUCGGGAUCUCUCAGGUCCCACCGGUGUUGGACUAGGGAGGUCCAACCUGUAAGAAGUAUGAACUGAUGUGCUGAUAGUGACAUCACAGUUUUAGAGUCACUGCUCCCCUCUUGUGGUCUCCCCCAGGGCUAUGAGCAGUGCAUCACUCGCAGUUCUGAGUCACAGCCCAGCUUUUUCUAAUAAACACGUUUAGUCUUCAAGUAAAAGCAUCACAGAGAAAAUAAAUCCAAUACAAUAAAAGUUCCCAUGUGCAAGCGAAAAGCAUAUCCAAGUCACCCACCAUACUUAUGAGCCUUUCCAGUUCUUCUGCGAUGGAUGGAGUCCCUCACGGGCAGAAUGCCCUUGCUAGUUACCUUCAGUUAAAUGCAGCCUCUUUAUAUCCAAAGUGCCUUCUUUGUCUGUUUGUCUCUGAAAAUCCUAGGCUGAACCAGUCCCCAGCAGAUGGUACCUCUCUGGAGAUAUUUACAAACUAAGCGAUUUGGUGCCUGCAGGAGCUGUCUAGAGUUGCAUACAACCCCUAGCCCACAGUGAUACACAAACCAUUCAUAAACUGAAUACAAUAUGGUCCCCAAAGAUACUGCAUGGGUUUGCAGUAUCUGUUGCAGAUGUGAUUAGUGCUAAUUAUACAUCGGCACAUAUGUUGAUGCCUUAAAAGGGAAGGGUGAAUAUUUAUGCUUGUUACAGCUAAGCCAUUUGUCUGCCAUGUAAAAUGUGCAUUAGGAGAAGGGGGUAGAAUUCCAUGUAUGAUGUAGCAACGCCACUCCUUAAGGGAUAUAAGACUGACAGUAAUAAUGACAGAGUGGGUUGAUUAGUCUGAUGUGUCCUGAUUUGUCUUUCCCUGAGCACCUUGCUCUCUCUAAAGAGCCUCAUUCCAUGGAAACAAGGCAUGUUGAAAUUUAUGUCGAUACCUCCGCUUGUUAAAGAGUGUCUGAUUCUUGGAACAUUUUUUCCACCAGAGAUGCAAAAGCUGCAUAAUAGCAAUAAAUGAGAUUAAAAGCAGAUGGAGAAAAUUCAGUCUAUAUCCAAAUCACUUAGUGCCAAAAUUAGCCUGUCUCCUGUGUUAGUUACUUCGAUAGUGUUUAUUUACUAGUGCAAAUUUCUAGUACCUAGAUUCAACUUCCCAUCAACAAUCUAUCUAUUUAAUUCCUUAUCCACAGAUGCUACAGUCAGUGGUUAAAAAACCCAAGUCCCAUACAAAGCAGCAUAAGGAUCAGAGAGCUCAUUUCCUUUGUAAAAAAAAAAAUGAAGCAAAAUGUGCAUCUCACACAGUAGCUGGUCUUUUCAGAGGACCCUAAAGGAACUGGUCACCCAAAUCCCAUUGACAAUCUUAGUUUCUUUUGAAAAUCCAGGCUCAUGUGUUUAGCAGCAUUCAGCCCCAGUGUGUAGGGGUUUGUGGAUGAAAAUGCGAUUUGCAUACUUUAUCUAUGGAUAUGCGUCCCAUAGUGUGCUACUCAGUGUAGACGUAGCCGUAGUGUGUGUGCUAUAGCACAGUAUAUUCACGUUGUGCCUUCCAUCCAUAGAUCCCAGGGCACUUUAUACAUAAAUCUCUCAACCCUCUGCAGAUCAGUAUGGUCUCCGUUUUACAGUCGGGAAUUGUCACGAGUUGAGCUCUCACUGCCACGGCGCCUCCAACUGGUCACUUGGGGAAUCAGCUCUCCUGCCUCAGCGUGCCCUCUGCGGCAUCUUGGGAUCAGGAUCCAUCUAGAUUAAGAUGCGUCAUCACAGAGGCUGGUUCUGCUCUCCCUUUUGAACAAUUUCUUUGUGUUUUCUGCCUCCAGACACAGAGACAGCAAACUGUCUGAAACCAGACAUCUGUUAAAUAUUGCAUGUGACAAAUGCUGCAGAAGCCAAGUUCCAGUGGGAAUCAACUUCAGUGGGAGAAGGCUCAGACCUUAACAGGGUUGGAAGUAUUGAUGAGUUUUAUGAUGUAAUUAGAGCAGGCAAAAUUAAUCAUGAGAAAUAAAAUGAUCCGGUGAAUUUGUAAUUUUUGUGAGUCGGUCUCAUCCCAUUCAGGUUUCUGCAGAUAGAUUUGAUCUACAUUAACAUUGGCUGAAUAGCAUAAGCCCGCGUUUCUCAAACUGUGGGUCCCGACCCCCCGGGGGGUCGCGAGCAACUUAGAGGGGGGGUCACGGUAUCACAAAGUUUGAGAACCCCUGGUGUAAGCCAAUCAUUUGCCAGCUUGUGGAUAUUGUGUGCUUACAGUGUUUGCUUUUUACAGCAUGUGAUUGGUUUCAUGGGUUUGUUUUUGUUCCCUGAUUGUAGGAACAACAAUGUUUAAGUAAUGAAAUGGUGGAUUUUAAAUAGCAAAUGCUCUCAUCCACUUGCAGAUAUCCUUGUUUUCUUAAGUAUAUGACCAUUCAUCAAAAUACAAUAGUAGAAUAUUUACACUGGCAUUAAAUUGUCCCUUCUUUUUGUAGGUGGAAUAGGUUUAAAGCAGACAUCAUAAAUCACAAUGUAAUUUCAAGGAGAAACUAUAUAGACCUGCUAUAACAUCACCUGAAUAUAAAGCAACUGUAUUGUCUAGUCCAUUGUUAUAAGGGUGAACGUGACCUCAUGAUAGACCCUUUUAGUUCUCUAUCUGUGUUCUUUAAUCAACUGGGCAUAGAAAAGAGUUGUUGUCUUUUUUUAAAAAAAAAUUGUGGAGUAUCUCACUCUAGUACCAAAUUGUGCUUGGUGAAUUAUUUACUUGUUAAUCCAAAAAUUCUUCAGUAGUUUCUCUUUCCACAAUCUAAGUCUUCAGUGAAGAGAAUUUAACUUUCCUUUUUCAAUUUGAACUUGGCAUGUGUUUUUAGUGGUGUUUAUUAAAGAGCCAAGUUUGCUCCUAGCAGCUUGCACAGAUGUACAGAGGGCCUUUUGACCUGCUCCUAUUGCUUCCUUCUAUCCUAGCAUCUAAACAGAACUGAUUAAACUCUCCUUGCUUUGGCAGUGGGGAAAACAGAUUAAUCUGAUAUGGAACUGCCAUCUCUGAUUCAGAUUUCCAAGGUCGUCUGUGCUACGCUGGCACAGAUUUGCUGGAAUAUGCUCGCAUGUGAUGGCCUGAUAGGUGGAUUAUACUCCUCCGUGCCUGUCAGCACUUCUCGGUGCUUUUGUAAACUAGCAUUUAGGGAGGACUGAAACACAUAAUUAUGCUUUUCUGUAAGAGUUCAAAUCCCCGGGUUUGAUGCUGAAGUUAUCCAGGAAUUCUAGCUGCUUGAUUUGGUAUUACACACAGCAGACUGUCAAACCCAAGUAUCAUAUUCGCUGGUUCCCAAGAACAUCCUUGACUCUCUCGUGCCCAGAUGGAAUUCUCACUGCAGCCAGUAGAAUUCUCACUGCAGCCAAUAGAAUUCAAGAACCUCGGAAUCUGCUCUGUAGAUCUUGGUGAUGGUUUAAACUGAGAAAGGGAAUCAAAGAACCAUAAGGCUAGAAGAGAGCACAAGGGUCAUCAUGUCUAAUCCUCGCCCAAGAUACAGGAUUUGUGACUAGCCAGCCUCCUUUUGAAAAUUCCUAGUGAAGGAGCUCCACAACCUGCCUAGACAGUUUGUUCCAUUGUUCUACAAUUUUUAGGAAUUUUUUUCCUGAGAUUUAAUCUAAAUUUG